UCUCCGUAGGUGAACCUGCGGAGGGAUCAUUACUGAGUGAGGGUCUCCGGGCCCGACCUCCAACCCUUUGUGAACACAACUUGUUGCUUCGGGGGCGACCCUGCCGUUUCGAUGGCGAGCGCCCCCGGAGGCCUUCAAACACUGCAUCAUUGCGUCGGAGUUAAAGUAAAUUAAACAAAACUUUCAACAACGGAUCUCUUGGUUCCAGCAUCGAUGAAGAACGCAGC
RNAcentral lists this unclassified non-coding RNA (227 nucleotides) under uncultured fungus. RNAcentral's name for it is "sequence contains ITS1, 5.8S rRNA gene". The stretch from base 179 to 227 matches the Rfam family "5.8S ribosomal RNA", at positions 1 to 49 of the family's 154-position model. Lineage: Eukaryota; Fungi. The record is from RNAcentral.